UGGGCUUGACAUCUACACGGGAGUCCAGGAGACUGGGCUGGCCCUUAUGGGACGUGUAGAC
Molecule: ribosomal RNA, 61 nt
Filed under: uncultured bacterium
Lineage: Bacteria
Description: partial 16S ribosomal RNA
Source: RNAcentral